GACGAACGCUGGCGGCGUGCUUAACACAUGCAAGUCGAACGGAAAGGCCCUGCUUUUGUGGGGUGCUCGAGUGGCGAACGGGUGAGUAACACGUGAGUAACAUGCCCUUGACUUUGGGAUAACUUCAGGAAACUGGGGCUAAUACCGGAUAGGAGCUCCUGCAGCAUGGUGGGGGUUGGAAAGUUUCGGCGGUUGGGGAUGGACUCGCGGCUUAUCAGCUUGUUGGUGGGGUAGUGGCUUACCAAGGCUUUGACGGGUAGCCGGCCUGAGAGGGUGACCGGCCACAUUGGGACUGAGAUACGGCCCAGACUCCUACGGGAGGCAGCAGUGGGGAGUACUGCACAAUGGGCGGAAGCCUGAUGCAGCAACGCCGCGUGCGGGAUGACGGCCUUCGGGUUGUAAACCGCUUUCGCCUGUGACGAAGCGUGAGUGACGGUAAUGGGUAAAGAAGCACCGGCUAACUACGUG
RNAcentral lists this ribosomal RNA (468 nucleotides) under uncultured bacterium. RNAcentral's name for it is "partial 16S ribosomal RNA". It matches the Rfam family "Bacterial small subunit ribosomal RNA", at positions 28 to 507 of the family's 1533-position model. The record is from RNAcentral.